UCCCAUAUAUAUGCCUUCAUUGUCUUUCACUUGACCUUAAUCACAUCAAUGCAUGUAUGCCUAUUACUAAUACAAUGUUUAUACUAUUAUAUUGUAAUUUUCAGUUCCCUCUUUUCUAUUAAAUGAUUUUUUAGACAGAAAAUAAUAUUUACUAAAUAAUAAAUUCAUAUUUUCAGGAAUAUUUUCGGUCUUAAAACUUCUCA
Molecule: long non-coding RNA, 203 nt
Filed under: Solanum tuberosum (potato)
Lineage: Eukaryota; Viridiplantae; Streptophyta; Magnoliopsida; Solanales; Solanaceae
Description: long non-coding RNA (STUB_LNC011359)
Source: RNAcentral